GACGAACGCUGGCGGCGUGCUUAACACAUGCAAGUCGAGCGGUAAGGCCCUUUCGGGGGUACACGAGCGGCGAACGGGUGAGUAACACGUGGGUGACCUGCCCUCAGCUCUGGGAUAAGCCUGGGAAACCGGGCCUAAUACUGGAUAUGACUCCAUGACGCAUGUUGUGGGUGGAAAGCCUUGUGCGGCUGAGGAUGGGCCCGCGGCCUAUCAGCUUGUUGGUGGGGUGAUGGCCUACCAAGGCGACGACGGGUAGCCGGCCUGAGAGGGCGACCGGCCACACUGGGACUGAGACACGGCCCAGACUCCUACGGGAGGCAGCAGUGGGGAAUCUUGCGCAAUGGGCGAAAGCCUGACGCAGCGACGCCGCGUGAGGGAUGACGGCCUCGGUGU
RNAcentral lists this ribosomal RNA (393 nucleotides) under uncultured bacterium. RNAcentral describes it as "bacterial SSU rRNA". It matches the Rfam family "Bacterial small subunit ribosomal RNA", at positions 28 to 423 of the family's 1533-position model. The record is from RNAcentral.